Scylla paramamosain (green mud crab) is the source of this 1408-nucleotide long non-coding RNA. RefSeq lists it as uncharacterized. The transcript is spliced from 4 exons. Lineage: Eukaryota; Metazoa; Arthropoda; Malacostraca; Decapoda; Portunidae. The record is from RefSeq and is a predicted model, not a curated record.
GGGAGGAUUACACAUCGGCCGGCGCCUGAGGAAAGCCAAUCAGCAGCAUCCUAACGUGUUCUGCAGGCGUUGUGAGCUCCCGGGUGAGUCCUUCUCUUCCUCGCCUCGCCUCACUGUCAAUCACUCUCAGGAAUGUGUUGUUUGACUUUGUUUUGCGCUGAUUUUUUUCUCAAGUGUUGCCGCGUGGUGGUGUUGACUGUGUGUGCGUUCGUGUGUUGCGGUGGAGGGUGUGGUGGGUGGCUGGGUGAGUGAGAGGUGGACGAGGCUAUGUGUGUGUGUGUGUGUGUGUGUGUGUAUGUGUGUCCUUAUCCUCUCCGCCACCUCCACCUCCUCUUCUGUUCUGACACAGCCCCUCCACCUCCACCACCACCACCACUGCCGACCUUCCACUACCACUACCUUGUAUUCAUCCUUACAUUCAUUCACAGUGUACAGGUUUCUGCCGUUCACCCUGUCACCACCCUACCGCUGGCCCCUUCUUUACUGUCCUACCUUUCUCCUCACUCUCCUUCCUUUACUUUGUGUUUCACCUUCUCUUCGUCUCUUCUUACUCAUUUUUUCUCCUGCUCCUACACAGAUCCUCAAAACCACAACACUAUUUUUUUUUUAUUGUCACUACUACUACAACUAUUAAACCCCACAACGACCAUCACCAUUAAUGUUACCAUGCAUGAAUUAGCUUUUUUUUUUUUUUCCCUUAAUACUCCUUCUUAACUUCCUCUUCCCUCCUGUGACAUCUACUAUAAUCAUCACCCCCCCACCUUCAUAACUUCACCACCUGACCACACCAUCAUUACACGCAUACCUGUUAGUGUCACCAUGUAUUUCACCACAUUUACAUGCCAUUACCCCAUCACUACCAUUACAUAUAUCCCAGCACCACAAUUGUCAUCACAACUUCUCACCAUUUCCACCCCGCCUCCCACCCUUCUCUCAUGUCACCCCCACUGCCAUCAUCUCCACUACCACGUCACCAUUUCCAUCACCUCUAAACCUCUAAAACACCACCUCUCAUCGCCCCACCCAAAUCACCACCACCACCACCACCACCACCACCUCAACUCGCCCUUGUCGUCACUCGCUACCCCACCGCCUCUGUCUCCUCUUGAUCUCCUCCCUCUCCGUCUCCCACCCUUAGUCCUCACCUGAUUCACCCCCACCCCACCACCACCACCACCACCGCCACCACCACGCUCGUUGUCUCCUCCCUUGAUGGACGUGAAAGACGAGAAUAAAUACCGAUGGAGACAACAGUAAUGGCCUGAAGAAAAGGGGUGUGAUGGUGUCUGUAUCUCGACGCUCGGCCUUGAACCUGAGAGCGUUACAUCAAGUGUGCGUCGUUGCGUGAGGCACGGUGAGAAGACAAGACGAAGACGGUGCAGGGGACACGACACACCGGGGAAGGCAA